RNAcentral lists this ribosomal RNA (714 nucleotides) under uncultured Nitrosospira sp. Its description in RNAcentral is "bacterial SSU rRNA". It matches the Rfam family "Bacterial small subunit ribosomal RNA", at positions 94 to 803 of the family's 1533-position model. The record is from RNAcentral. Lineage: Bacteria; Pseudomonadati; Pseudomonadota; Betaproteobacteria; Nitrosomonadales; Nitrosomonadaceae.
AGUGGCGAACGGGUGAGUAAUGCAUCGGAACGUAUCCUUAAGUGGGGGAUAACGCAUCGAAAGAUGCGCUAAUACCGCAUAAUCUCUGAGGAGAAAAGCAGGGGAUCGCAAGACCUUGCGCUUUUGGAGCGGCCGAUGUCUGAUUAGCUAGUUGGUGAGGUAAAGGCUUACCAAGGCUUCGAUCAGUAGCUGGUCUGAGAGGACGACCAGCCACACUGGGACUGAGACACGGCCCAGACUCCUACGGGAGGCAGCAGUGGGGAAUUUUGGACAAUGGGGGAAACCCUGAUCCAGCCAUGCCGCGUGAGUGAAGAAGGCCUUCGGGUUGUAAAGCUCUUUCAGCCGGAACGAAAAGGUUACGGUUAAUACCCGUGACUAAUGACGGUACCGGAAGAAGAAGCACCGGCUAACUACGUGCCAGCAGCCGCGGUAAUACGUAGGGUGCGAGCGUUAAUCGGAAUUACUGGGCGUAAAGCGUGCGCAGGCGGUUUUGUAAGUCAGAUGUGAAAUCCCCGGGCUCAACCUGGGAACUGCGUUUGAAACUACAAGGCUAGAGUGUGGCAGAGGGGGGUGGAAUUCCACGUGUAGCAGUGAAAUGCGUAGAGAUGUGGAGGAACACCGAUGGCGAAGGCAGCCCCCUGGGUUAACACUGACGCUCAGGCACGAAAGCGUGGGGGAGCAAACAGGAUUAGAUACCCUGGUAGUCCACGCCCU